Molecule: ribosomal RNA, 465 nt
Filed under: uncultured bacterium
Lineage: Bacteria
Description: partial 16S ribosomal RNA
Rfam family: Bacterial small subunit ribosomal RNA
Source: RNAcentral
GACGAACGCUGGCGGCGUGCUUAACACAUGCAAGUCGAACGGAAAGGCCCUGCUUGCGGGGUACUCGCGUGGCGAACGGGUGUGUAACACGCGGGUGAUCCGCCCUCCACUCCGGGUUAUGCCUGGGAAACUGGGUCUAUUAUCGCAUAGGAGCCAUCUUUAGUGUGAUGGUUGGAAAGUUUUUUUGGUGUAGGAUGAGCUCGCGGCCUAUCAGCUUGUUGGUUGGGUAAUGGCCUACCAAGGCGGCGACGGGUAGCCGGCCUGGGAGGGUGGACGGCCACAUUGGGGCUGAAAUACGGGCCAAACUCCUACAGGAAGCAACAGGGGGGGAAUUUUGACAAUGGGGGCAAGCCUGAAUGAGCGACGCCGCGGGGGGGAAGACGGGCUUCGGGUUUGAAACUCGGUUCGCUAGGUGCGGAUCUUUUUGUGACGGUACCUGGUAAAGAAGCACCGGCUAACUACGUG